AUUGAACGCUGGCGGCAGGCCUAACACAUGCAAGUCGAACGGCAGCAGGGGAUAGCUUGCAAUCCUGCCGGCGAGUGGCGGACGGGUGAGUAAUGCAUGGGGAGCUGCCCAGUCGAGGGGGAUAACAACUGGAAACGGUUGCUAAUACCGCAUACGCCCUAAGGGGGAAAGGUGGGGAACUUCGGUCCUACCGCGAUUGGAUGCGCCCAUGUGGGAUUAGCUAGUUGGUGAGGUAACGGCUCACCAAGGCGACGAUCUCUAGCUGGUCUGAGAGGAUGACCAGCCACACUGGAACUGAGACACGGUCCAGACUCCUACGGGAGGCAGCAGUGGGGAAUAUUGCACAAUGGGGGAAACCCUGAUGCAGCCAUGCCGCGUGUGUGAAGAAGGCCUUCGGGUUGUAAAGCACUUUCAGUCAGGAGGAAGGGGUGAUGGCUAAUAUCCAUCAUCAUUGACGUUACUGACAGAAGAAGCACCGGCUAACUCCGUGCCAGCCGCCGCUGUAA
This 506-nucleotide ribosomal RNA is filed under the name uncultured bacterium. RNAcentral's name for it is "partial 16S ribosomal RNA". It matches the Rfam family "Bacterial small subunit ribosomal RNA", at positions 30 to 523 of the family's 1533-position model. The record is from RNAcentral.